RNAcentral lists this ribosomal RNA (465 nucleotides) under Vreelandella stevensii. RNAcentral's name for it is "partial 16S ribosomal RNA". It matches the Rfam family "Bacterial small subunit ribosomal RNA", at positions 338 to 795 of the family's 1533-position model. The record is from RNAcentral. Lineage: Bacteria; Pseudomonadati; Pseudomonadota; Gammaproteobacteria; Oceanospirillales; Halomonadaceae.
CCUACGGGGGGCAGCAGUGGGGAAUAUUGGACAAUGGGGGCAACCCUGAUCCAGCCAUGCCGCGUGUGUGAAGAAGGCCCUCGGGUUGUAAAGCACUUUCAGUGAGGAAGAACGCCUGGUGGUUAAUACCCAUCAGGAAAGACAUCACUCACAGAAGAAGCACCGGCUAACUCCGUGCCAGCAGCCGCGGGAAUACGGAGGGUGCGAGCGUUAAUCGGAAUUACUGGGCGUAAAGCGCGCGUAGGUGGCUUGAUAAGCCGGUUGUGAAAGCCCCGGGCUCAACCUGGGAACGGCAUCCGGAACUGUCAAGCUAGAGUGCAGGAGAGGAAGGUAGAAUUCCCGGUGUAGCGGUGAAAUGCGUAGAGAUCGGGAGGAAUACCAGUGGCGAAGGCGGCCUUCUGGACUGACACUGACACUGAGGUGCGAAAGCGUGGGUAGCAAACAGGAUUAGAUACCCCAGUAGUC